CCUACGGGGGGCAGCAGUGGGGAAUAUUGCACAAUGGGGGAAACCCUGAUGCAGCGACGCCGCGUGAGGGAAGAAGUAAUUCGGUAUGUAAAGCUCUAUCAGCAGGGAAGAAAAUGACGGUACCUGAGUAAGAAGCCCCGGCUAACUACGUGCCAGCAGCCGCGGUAAUACGUAGGGGGCAAGCGUUAUCCGGAUUUACUGGGUGUAAAGGGAGCGUAGGCGGCAGUGCAAGUCUGGAGUGAAAGGCGGGGGCUCAACCCCCGGACUGCUCUGGAAACUGUACGGCUGGAGUGCAGGAGAGGUAGGCGGAAUUCCUAGUGUAGCGGUGAAAUGCGUAGAUAUUAGGAGGAACACCAGUGGCGAAGGCGGCUUACUGGACUGUAACUGACGUUGAGGCUCGAAAGCGUGGGGAGCAAACAGGAUUAGAUACCCCUGUAGUC
Molecule: ribosomal RNA, 440 nt
Filed under: uncultured bacterium
Lineage: Bacteria
Description: partial 16S ribosomal RNA
Rfam family: Bacterial small subunit ribosomal RNA
Source: RNAcentral